Molecule: ribosomal RNA, 117 nt
Organism: Danio rerio (zebrafish)
Lineage: Eukaryota; Metazoa; Chordata; Actinopteri; Cypriniformes; Danionidae
Source: Ensembl
CGCCACAGCCAUGUCACCCUGCAGCCCAAGACCGGUUACUCACUGAAGCUAAGCAGGGCUGAGCCUAGUCAAUACUUGGAUAGGAGACCACAUGGGAAAACUAGGUUGCUGUUGCAA